RNAcentral lists this ribosomal RNA (615 nucleotides) under uncultured archaeon. RNAcentral's name for it is "bacterial SSU rRNA". It matches the Rfam family "Archaeal small subunit ribosomal RNA", at positions 149 to 769 of the family's 1478-position model. The record is from RNAcentral.
AUACCGGAUAGUGCAUCGAUUGCUGGAAUGCACGAUGUACGAAAGCUGAGGCGCCCAAGGAUAGGUCUGUGGCCGAUUAGGUUGUUGUUGAUGUAACGGACCAACAAGCCUACGAUCGGUACGGGUUGUGAGAGCAAUAGCCCGGAGAUGGGUUCUGAGAGAAGAACCCAGGUCCUACGGGACGCAUCAGGCGCGAAAACUUUACAAUGUGCGAAAGCACGAUAAGGGAACUCUGAGUGCCUCCUAAGGAGGCUGUUCAGAUGUUUAAAAAGCAUCUGGAGGAAGGGCUGGGCAAGACCGGUGCCAGCCGCCGCGGUAACACCGGCAGCCCAAGUGGUAGUCAUGCUUACUGGGUCUAAAGCGUCCGUAGCCGGCCGGGUAAGUUCCUUGGGAAAUUUGAUCGCUUAACGAUCAAGCUACCUGGGAAUACUACUUGGCUUGGGACCGGGAGAGGUCAGAGGUACUUCAAGGGUAGGGGUGAAAUCCGUUAAUCCUUGGGGGACCACCAGUAGCGAAGGCGUCUGAUCAGACCGGAUCCGACGGUGAGGGACGAAGGCUAGGGGAGCGAAGCGGAUUAGAUACCCGCGUAGUCCUAGCUGUAAACGAUGCGGGCUA